Molecule: ribosomal RNA, 1426 nt
Filed under: uncultured bacterium
Lineage: Bacteria
Description: bacterial SSU rRNA
Rfam family: Bacterial small subunit ribosomal RNA
Source: RNAcentral
GAGUUUGAUCAUGGCUCAGAACGUACGCUGGCGGCACGCCUAAUACAUGCAAGUCGAACGAAGUAGCAAUACUUAGUGGCAGACGGGUGAGUAACAUGUGGGUAUCUUCCCUUUGGUGAGGAAUAACACGAGGAAACUUGUGCUAAUACCUCAUAAGUCUUUACGGAGAAAGCUUUAUGCGCCAUUGGAUGAGCCUGCACUUGAUUAGUUUGUUGGUGGGGUAAUGGCCUACCAAGACAAUGAUCAAUAGCUGAUUUGAGAGGAUGAUCAGCCACAUUGGGACUGAGACACGGCCCAAACUCCUACGGGAGGCAGCAGUAGGGAAUCUUGCACAAUGGAGGAAACUCUGAUGCAGCGAUGCCGCGUGAGUGAAGAAGGCCUUUGGGUUGUAAAGCUCUUUCGUCGGGGAAGAAAAUGACUGUACCCGAAUAAGAAGGUCCGGCUAACUUCGUGCCAGCAGCCGCGGUAAUACGAAGGGACCUAGCGUAGUUCGGAAUUACUGGGCUUAAAGAGUUCGUAGGUGGUUGAAAAAGUUAGUGGUGAAAUCCCAGAGCUUAACUCUGGAACUGCCAUUAAAACUUUUAGCUAGAGUAUGAUAGAGGAAAGCAGAAUUUCUAGUGUAGAGGUGAAAUUCGUAGAUAUUAGAAAGAAUACCAAUUGCGAAGGCAGCUUUCUGGAUCAUUACUGACACUGAGGAACGAAAGCAUGGGUAGCGAAGAGGAUUAGAUACCCUCGUAGUCCAUGCCGUAAACGAUGUGUGUUAGAUGUUGGAAAUUUAUUUUCAGUAUCGCAGCGAAAGCAAUAAACACACCGCCUGGGGAGUACGACCGCAAGGUUAAAACUCAAAUGAAUUGACGGGGACCCGCACAAGUAGUGGAGCAUGUGGUUUAAUUCGAAGAUACGCGCAGAACCUUACCAACACUUGACAUGUUCGUCGCGACUCUAAGAGAUUAGAGUUUUCGGUUCGGCCGGACGAAACACAGGUGCUGCAUGGCUGUCGUCAGCUCGUGUCGUGAGAUGUUGGGUUAAGUCCCGCAACGAGCGCAACCCUCACUUUUAGUUGCUACCAUUUAGUUGGGCACUCUGAAAGAACUGCCAGUGAUAAGCUGGAGGAAGGUGGGGAUGACGUCAAGUCCUCAUGGCCCUUACGUGUUGGGCUACACACGUGCUACAAUGGCAUCUACAAUAGGAAGCAAGAUGGCGACAUCAAGCAAAUCCUAAAAAGAUGCCUCAGUUCGGAUUGCACUCUGCAACUCGAGUGCAUGAAGCUGGAAUUACUAGUAAUCGCGGAUCAGCGCGCCGCGGUGAAUACGUUCCCGGGUCUUGUACACACCGCCCGUCACACCAUGGAAGUUGGUUACACCUGAAGGCAAAACGUAAAAAUUUUGACUACGGUACGAUCAGCGACUGGGGUGAAGUCGUAACA